RNAcentral lists this ribosomal RNA (522 nucleotides) under uncultured Glomus. Its description in RNAcentral is "SSU rRNA". It matches the Rfam family "Eukaryotic small subunit ribosomal RNA", at positions 569 to 1092 of the family's 1831-position model. The record is from RNAcentral. Lineage: Eukaryota; Fungi; Glomeromycota; Glomeromycetes; Glomerales; Glomeraceae.
AGCAGCCGCGGUAAUUCCAGCUCCAAUAGCGUAUAUUAAAGUUGUUGCAGUUAAAAAGCUUGUAGUUGAAUUUCGGGAUUAGUACGCUGGUCGUGCCUUUGGUAUGUACUGGUGUUACUGGUUCCUACCUUCUGACGAACCGUCAUGUCAUUAGUUUGGUGUGGCGGGGAAUCAGGACUGUUACUUUGAAAAAAUUAGAGUGUUUAAAGCAGGCUCGCGCUUGAAUACAUUAGCAUGGAAUAAUGAAAUAGGACGUCCGAUCCUAUUUUGUUGGUUUCUAGGAUUGACGUAAUGAUUAAUAGGGAUAGUUGGGGGCAUUAGUAUUCAAUUGUCAGAGGUGAAAUUCUUGGAUUUAUUGAAGACUAACUACUGCGAAAGCAUUUGCCAAGGAUGUUUUCAUUAAUCAAGAACGAAAGUUAGGGGAUCGAAGACGAUCAGAUACCGUCGUAGUCUUAACCAUAAACUAUGCCGACUAGGGAUCGGAUGAUGUUAAUUUUUUAAUGACUCAUUCGGCGCCUUACG